GCUCAUGCCUACGCGUUGAGGUUACCACACGAGCGAGCACACACUUGUGUAGCGUCGACGGUCCCCUAUUUCGGCUUUUUACCGAUUUAAUAUUGUGGUAGUAUGAUUACACACCUGGUUAUGAACCGCGUACUCAGCCCUCAAGCCCUCCAAAUCUGAGUUCAAUCAUAAAAAACGAUUAACUAUAUGUCUAACGAAUUUAAAACGACUCAACACAAAAUACUUAAUCACUUCACCGCAUUCACAUACCACGCUUGAACAACCGAGACCCG
RNAcentral lists this long non-coding RNA (272 nucleotides) under Gossypium barbadense (sea-island cotton). RNAcentral's name for it is "long non-coding RNA (GBAR_LNC012553)". Lineage: Eukaryota; Viridiplantae; Streptophyta; Magnoliopsida; Malvales; Malvaceae. The record is from RNAcentral.